RNAcentral lists this ribosomal RNA (497 nucleotides) under uncultured bacterium. Its description in RNAcentral is "partial 16S ribosomal RNA". It matches the Rfam family "Bacterial small subunit ribosomal RNA", at positions 28 to 507 of the family's 1533-position model. The record is from RNAcentral.
GAUGAACGCUGGCGGCGUGCCUAAUACAUGCAAGUCGAGCGAACGGACGAGAAGCUUGCUUCUCUGGUGUUAGCGGCGGACGGGUGAGUAACACGUGGAUAAACUACCUCGAAGACUGGGAUAACUUCGGGAAACCGGAACUAAUACCGGAUAAUAUUUGGAACCGCAUGGUUCAAAAGUGAAAGACGGUCUUGCUGUCACUGAUAGAUGGAUCCGCGCUGCAUUAGCUAGUUGGUAAGGUAACGGCUUACCAAGGCAACGAUGCAUAGCCGACCUGAGAGGGUGAUCGGCCACACUGGAACUGAGACACGGUCCAGACUCCUACGGGAGGCAGCAGUAGGGAAUCUUGCGCAAUGGGCGAAAGCCUGACGGAGCCACGCCGCGUGAGUGAUGAAGGUCUUCGGAUCGUAAAACUCUUUUAUUAGGGAAGAACAUAUGUGUAAGUAAAUGUUCACAUCUUGACGUUACCUACACAGAAAGCCACGGCUAACUACGUG